AGCGGCGCACGGGUGAGUAACGCGUGGGUAAUCUACCCAGGGGUUCGGGAUAACUCCGGGAAACUGGAGCUAAUACCGGGUAAGACCACGAUGUCCUCGGACAUUGCGGAAAAAGAUGGCCUCUCCUUGGAAGCUAUCGCCCCUGGAUGAGCCCGCGUCCCAUUAGCUUGUUGGUGGGGUAACGGCCUACCAAGGCUCCGAUGGGUAGCUGGUCUGAGAGGAUGAUCAGCCACACUGGAACUGAGACACGGUCCAGACUCCUACGGGAGGCAGCAGUCGGGAAUUUUGGGCAAUGGGGGCAACCCUGACCCAGCAACGCCGUGUGAGGGAUGAAGGCCCUCGGGUCGUAAACCUCUGUCAGGAGGGAAGAACGGCGGUCAUUCGAAUAGGGUGGCCGUUUGACGGUACCUCCAAAGGAAGCACCGGCUAACUCCGUGCCAGCAGCCGCGGUAAUACGGAGGGUGCAAGCGU
Molecule: ribosomal RNA, 471 nt
Filed under: uncultured bacterium
Lineage: Bacteria
Description: bacterial SSU rRNA
Rfam family: Bacterial small subunit ribosomal RNA
Source: RNAcentral